Molecule: unclassified non-coding RNA, 210 nt
Filed under: Hevea brasiliensis (rubber tree)
Lineage: Eukaryota; Viridiplantae; Streptophyta; Magnoliopsida; Malpighiales; Euphorbiaceae
Source: RNAcentral
GGGGGAGAGAAUCAAAAUGAAUAUGUAUACAGACAACCAAUCUCAUGACUAAAAAAAUUAUAAAAGGUGAAAAUUUAGCUCUACACUAUGGUUAUCUGCCUUCAUUUCUAUCAGAAUGUGAAAGAAAAGAAGUUGAACCAGCUUCAAUAUCAACAUCCCCAUGAUCACCCCCACAUGACCAUGUAUUGAGCUUCUCAAAAUUUGAUGACA